RNAcentral lists this ribosomal RNA (494 nucleotides) under uncultured bacterium. Its description in RNAcentral is "partial 16S ribosomal RNA". It matches the Rfam family "Bacterial small subunit ribosomal RNA", at positions 28 to 507 of the family's 1533-position model. The record is from RNAcentral.
GACGAACGCUGGCGGCGUGCUUAACACAUGCAAGUCGAACGGUGAAGCGCCUUCCUUUUUGGUGGGUGUGGAUGAGUGGCGAACGGGUGAGUAACACGUGAGUAACCCGCCCCCUUCUUCUGGAUAACCGCAUGAAAGUGUGGCUAAUACGGGAUAUUCUGGGUCUGUCGCAUGAUGGGUCUGGGAAAGAUAUUGUUUCGGUGGGGGAUGGGCUCGCGGCCUAUCAGCUUGUUGGUGGGGUGAUGGCCUACCAAGGCGGUGACGGGUAGCCGGCCUGAGAGGGUGGACGGUCACACUGGGACUGAGACACGGCCCAGACUCCUACGGGAGGCAGCAGUGGGGAAUAGUGCACAAUGGGCGCAAGCCUGAUGCAGCGACGCCGCGUGAGGGAUGGAGGCCUUCGGGUUGUGAACCUCUUUCGCCAGUGAAGCAGGACUGCCUCGUUUGUGGGUGGGUUGACGGUAGCUGGAGAAGAAGCGCCGGCUAACUACGUG